This 1030-nucleotide long non-coding RNA is filed under the name Lonchura striata (white-rumped munia). RNAcentral's name for it is "domestica (Bengalese finch) lncRNA (ENSLSDG00000002585.1)". The record is from RNAcentral. Lineage: Eukaryota; Metazoa; Chordata; Aves; Passeriformes; Estrildidae.
CCCAGGGGUGCCACCGGGCUUUGUCCCGGUACUGGGAGCAGUGGCACAUGGCCCGUGCUGGCCCGGUGACAUUGGCAUCAUCCACAGGGUGCUGGCAGUGUCCCCGGCAUUGUCCCCGCGGUGCUGGCCCGGUGACACCGGCAUUGUCCCCACGGUGCUGGCCUGGUGUCAUCAGCAUUGUCCCCACGGUGCUGGCCCAGUGACACUGGCAUCAUCCACAGGGUGCUGGCAGUGUCCCCGGCAUUGUCCCUGCGGUGCUGGCCCGGUGACACUGGCAUUGUCCCCACAGCGGUGGUUCGGUGUCAUGGCCAUUGUCCCCGCGGUGCUGGCCCGGUGACACCAGCAUUGUCCCCACGGUGCUGGCCCGGUGUCACCAGGAUUGUCCCCACAGUGGUGGUUCGGUGUCACGGCCAUUGUCCCCACGGUGCUGGCCCGGUGUCACCAGCAUUGUCCCCACAGUGGUGGUUCGGUGUCACGGCCAUUGUCCCCGCGGUGCUGGCCCGGUGACACCGGCAUUGUCCCCACAGUGGUGGUUCGGUGUCACGGCCAUUGUCCCCACGGUGCUGGCAGUGUCCCCGGCAUUGUCCCCGCGGGGCCCCGGGGCCGCGUUCUCCCGGGUGUGCCGACCAAGCCCUCCCUGGUGUGGCCCUUGCGGUGGCACCGCGCCGCGGUGGCCCGCGGGCUGGGCAGGGUCCGGGCCACCCGUGCCAGUUCCCAGUCCCAGUCCCAGUCCCAGUUCCCAGUUCCAGUUCCCAGUCCCAGUUCCCAGUCCCAGUCCCAGUCCCAGUCCCAGUUCCCAGUCCCAGUCCCAGUCCCAGUUCCCAGUUCCAGUUCCCAGUCCCAGUCCCAGUUCCCAGUCCCAGUUCCCAGUUCCGAGUCCCAGUCCCAGUUCCCAGUCCCAGUCCCAGUCCCAGUCCCAGUCCCCAGUCCCAGUUCCCAGUUCCCAGUCCCAAUUCCCAGUCCCAAUUCCCAGUCCCAAUUCCCAGUUCCCAGUUCCCUGCCAGUGCCACUCGUCGCCGCCACGUCCCGG